RNAcentral lists this ribosomal RNA (440 nucleotides) under uncultured bacterium. RNAcentral describes it as "partial 16S ribosomal RNA". It matches the Rfam family "Bacterial small subunit ribosomal RNA", at positions 337 to 795 of the family's 1533-position model. The record is from RNAcentral.
GCUACGUGUGGCAGCAGUGGGGAAUAUUGCACAAUGGGGGAAACCCUGAUGCAGCGACGCCGCGUGAGUGAAGAAGUAUCUCGGUACGUAAAGCUCUAUCAGCAGGGAAGAAAAUGACGGUACCUGACUAAGAAGCCCCGGCUAACUACGUGCCAGCAGCCGCGGUAAUACGUAGGGGGCAAGCGUUAUCCGGAUUUACUGGGUGUAAAGGGAGCGUAGACGGCAGCACAAAGCUGGAGUGAAAUCCCGGGGCUUAACCCCGGAACUGCUUUGGAAACUGUGCGGCUGGAGUGCAGGAGGGGUAAGCGGAAUUCCUAGUGUAGCGGUGAAAUGCGUAGAUAUUAGGAGGAACACCGGUGGCGAAGGCGGUUUACUGGACUGUAACUGACGUUGAGGCUCGAAAGCGUGGGGAGCAAACAGGAUUAGAUACCCUUGUAGUC